RNAcentral lists this ribosomal RNA (605 nucleotides) under Citrobacter portucalensis. Its description in RNAcentral is "partial 23S ribosomal RNA". It matches the Rfam family "Bacterial large subunit ribosomal RNA", at positions 2326 to 2925 of the family's 2925-position model. Lineage: Bacteria; Pseudomonadati; Pseudomonadota; Gammaproteobacteria; Enterobacterales; Enterobacteriaceae. The record is from RNAcentral.
CCUGGUCGGACAUCAGGAGGUUAGUGCAAAGGCAUAAGCUAGCUUGACUGCGAGAGUGACGGCUCGAGCAGGUGCGAAAGCAGGUCUUAGUGAUCCGGUGGUUCUGAAUGGAAGGGCCAUCGCUCAACGGAUAAAAGGUACUCCGGGGAUAACAGGCUGAUACCGCCCAAGAGUUCAUAUCGACGGCGGUGUUUGGCACCUCGAUGUCGGCUCAUCACAUCCUGGGGCUGAAGUAGGUCCCAAGGGUAUGGCUGUUCGCCAUUUAAAGUGGUACGCGAGCUGGGUUUAGAACGUCGUGAGACAGUUCGGUCCCUAUCUGCCGUGGGCGCUGGAGAAUUGAGGGGGGCUGCUCCUAGUACGAGAGGACCGGAGUGGACGCAUCACUGGUGUUCGGGUUGUCAUGCCAAUGGCAUUGCCCGGUAGCUAAAUGCGGAAGAGAUAAGUGCUGAAAGCAUCUAAGCACGAAACUUGCCCCGAGAUGAGUUCUCCCUGACUCCUUGAGAGUCCUGAAGGAACGUUGAAGACGACGACGUUGAUAGGUCGGGUGUGUAAGUGUAGCGAUACAUUGAGCUAACCGAUACUAAUGAACCGUGAGGCUUAACCUU